GACGAACGCUGGCGGCGUGCUUAACACAUGCAAGUCGAACGGAAAGGCCCUGCUUUUGUGGGGUGCUCGAGUGGCGAACGGGUGAGUAACACGUGAGUAACCUGCCCUUGACUUUGGGAUAACUUCAGGAAACUGGGGCUAAUACCGGAUAGGAGCUCCUGCUGCAUGGUGGGGGUUGGAAAGUUUCGGCGGUUGGGGAUGGACUCGCGGCUUAUCAGCUUGUUGGUGGGGUAGUGGCUUACCAAGGCUUUGACGGGUAGCCGGCCUGAGAGGGUGACCGGCCACAUUGGGACUGAGAUACGGCCCAGGACACUACGGGAGGCAGCAGUGGGGAAUAUUGCACAAUGGGCGGAAGCCUGAUGCAGCAACGCCGCGUGCGGGAUGACGGCCUUCGGGUUGUAAACCGCUUUCGCCUGUGACGAAGCGUGAGUGACGGUAAUGGGUAAAGAAGCACCGGCUAACUACGUG
RNAcentral lists this ribosomal RNA (468 nucleotides) under uncultured bacterium. RNAcentral's name for it is "partial 16S ribosomal RNA". It matches the Rfam family "Bacterial small subunit ribosomal RNA", at positions 28 to 507 of the family's 1533-position model. The record is from RNAcentral.